AGGGUUGUAGCUCAGUGGUGGAGUGCUUACCUUGCAUGUAUGAGGCACUGGGUUUGAUCCUCAGCACUA
RNAcentral lists this transfer RNA (69 nucleotides) under Ictidomys tridecemlineatus (thirteen-lined ground squirrel). RNAcentral's name for it is "Spermophilus tridecemlineatus (thirteen-lined ground squirrel) tRNA". It matches the Rfam family "tRNA". From Rfam's summary of the family: Transfer RNA (tRNA) molecules are approximately 80 nucleotides in length. Their secondary structure includes four short double-helical elements and three loops (D, anti-codon, and T loops). Lineage: Eukaryota; Metazoa; Chordata; Mammalia; Rodentia; Sciuridae. The record is from Rfam by way of RNAcentral.